AAUAGAUACCCUGGUAGUCCACACCGUAAACGAUGAGUGCUAGGUGUUUGAGGGUUUCCGCCCUUAAGUGCCGCAGCUAACGCAUUAAAGCACUCCGCCUGGGGAGUACGACCGCAAGGUUGAAACUCAAAGGAAUUGACGGGGGACCCGCACAAGCGGUGGAGCAUGUGGUUUAAUUCGAAGCAACGCGAAGAACCUUACCAGGUCUUGACAUCCCUUGACAACUCCAGAGAUGGAGUGUUCCCUUCGGGGACAAGGUGACAGGUGGUGCAUGGUUGUCGUCAGCUCGUGUCGUGAGAUGUUGGGUUAAGUCCCGCAACGAGCGCAACCCUUAUUAACUAGUUGCCAGCAUUCAGUUGGGCACUCUAGUGAGACUGCCGGUGACAAACCGGAGGAAGGUGGGGAUGACGUCGAAAUCAUCAUGCCCCUUAUGACCUGGGCUACACACGUGCUACAAUGGCGUAUACAACGAGUUGCCAACCCGCGAGGGUGAGCUAAUCUCUUAAAGUACGUCUCAGUUCGGAUUGUAGGCUGCAACUCG
Molecule: ribosomal RNA, 541 nt
Filed under: uncultured bacterium
Lineage: Bacteria
Description: bacterial SSU rRNA
Rfam family: Bacterial small subunit ribosomal RNA
Source: RNAcentral